RNAcentral lists this ribosomal RNA (240 nucleotides) under uncultured bacterium. RNAcentral describes it as "partial 16S ribosomal RNA". It matches the Rfam family "Bacterial small subunit ribosomal RNA", at positions 791 to 1035 of the family's 1533-position model. The record is from RNAcentral.
UAGUCCACGCCGUAAACGUUGGAUACUAAGUGUCGGAGUUAUUCGGUGCUGAAGUUAACACAUUAAGUAUCCCACCUGAGUAGUACAGUCGCAAGGCUGAAACUCAAAGGAAUUGACGGGCACCCGCACAAGCGGUGGAGCAUGCUGUUUAAUUCGAAGAUACGCGAAGAACCUUACCUGGGCUUGACAUCCCGCGGACCGUUCUAGAAAUAGAAUUUUCCCUUCGGGGACUGCGGUGAC